UGAAUAACCAAACAAAUCAAAGGUUUAAAAUCACUGAGUUUCGAGUUUCGACUUUUGAUCUAUUAUUUAAUAUGUAGAAAAGGUAUACUUCUAUUGUCAAAUUGAUUACUGAGUGUAGAGCAGUGUUCAAAAGUACUGCAAAAGUCGGCGAUCACUCUCUGACCCUCUCUCAAGAGUGUGUGGUGAAGAAACACUGCCCGUCAAAUAGUCGACUUGGAGGGCAUUGAAGAGAUUGCAAGUUAGAGAUUCUCGAGAGAGGAAUUAUAUCGGCGUCUAAGAAGACAUUACGUCAGCAAUCUGGAAUCACUAACAGAUGAGACACAAAAGCGAAUGUCAUAAGCUGCCUUCCCCUUCAUUGUAGAAGCAUUAUUACCUUGGGGAUUUUGUCUGUUGUGAUGUGUGUGUGAUGCUGCUGUGGUGGCUUUUUGGUGAAGACGAGAUCACGAGAUACAAAUUUGGAGGGGAAAAUAUUACGGAAAGCUGCUGGAUCCCCACUAUUUCGUGCCAGCUUGUGAAAGGCGUGAGGAAUUCCCGAAUUCAAAUUUAGCUGCUGCGUGCUGUCUGCAAGCAAGCAAUCCAAUUGGCUGUCGCUAGGUGGCGCGAGUGUCUUCAGGGGACCAAAUUCGGCCAUUUUGUUCCUUGACGCAGCAGAAGUGGGAUGCUGGUCGUGACGUUUCCCAUGAUGAAAAUGUGAUUUCAAUACCACUUUGUCAAAUCAUGUAACUCGGACUUGAGUGCCUGUCCAUUUUGCCGAAAUGUCGUGCCUCGUGUGUCUUGCUGCCUGCACCCAGUCGUACGUCUCGUCCCAUGACAAAGCAAAAGUCCGCUGUUGGUUACCUUGUUGCAGCCAGGUGGUGAAAGAUGUGAUGGAGACUAAUUGAACUGUUGUAUGCAGCGUGUGGUUCCAGUGUUAUCCUGAAGCAGCCUGAAUUUGCCAGUGAUAUCCGGGUUGCUGCCUUAAAGUUAAACAUUUUUCUCUCUUUGCAUUUGUGUAUUUUGCUCUGCCAAUGCUAUCCUGUGUUUGAAAUCUUU
This 1032-nucleotide long non-coding RNA is filed under the name Daphnia pulex (common water flea). RNAcentral describes it as "uncharacterized LOC124190664, transcript variant X5". The record is from RNAcentral. Lineage: Eukaryota; Metazoa; Arthropoda; Branchiopoda; Diplostraca; Daphniidae.